Molecule: non-coding RNA, 145 nt
Organism: Pelobates cultripes (western spadefoot toad)
Lineage: Eukaryota; Metazoa; Chordata; Amphibia; Anura; Pelobatidae
Source: the annotation of a GenBank genome assembly
CACUAGGGGGCACAGGGAGAAAUGGGGACACUGAGAGACAUAGGGACAUUGGGAGACACUGAGAUACUAGGGACCCAGUGUCCCCAUGUCUCCCAAUGUCCCCUAGUCACUCAGUGUCUCUAUGUCUCCCAGUGUCCCCAAGUGU